RNAcentral lists this ribosomal RNA (505 nucleotides) under uncultured bacterium. RNAcentral describes it as "partial 16S ribosomal RNA". It matches the Rfam family "Bacterial small subunit ribosomal RNA", at positions 28 to 507 of the family's 1533-position model. The record is from RNAcentral.
GACGAACGCUGGCGGCGUGCCUAAUACAUGCAAGUAGAACGCACAGUUUAUACCGUAGCUUGCUACACCAUAGACUGUGAGUUGCGAACGGGUGAGUAACGCGUAGGUAACCUGCCUGGUAGCGUGGGAUAACUAUUGGAAACGAUAGCUAAUACCUCAUACUAUUAAUUAUUGCAUGAUAAUUAAUUGAAAGUUGCAAUUUCAACACUACCAGAUGGACCUGCGUUGUAUUAGCUAGUAGGGGAGGUCACGGCGCACCUAGGCGACGAUAGAGACACGGCCUGACAGGGUGAUCGGCCACACUGGGACUGAGACACGGCCCAGACUCCCACGGGAGGCAGCAGUAGGGAAACUUCGGCGAUGGACGAAAGUCUGACCGAGGAACGCCGGGUGAGUGAAGAAGGUUUUCGGAUCGUAAAGCUCUGUUGUAAGAGAAGAACGGGUGUGAGAGUGGAAAGUUCACACUGUGACGGUAUCUUACCAGAAAGGGACGGCUAACUACGUG